This 373-nucleotide ribosomal RNA is filed under the name Escherichia coli. RNAcentral's name for it is "partial 23S ribosomal RNA". It matches the Rfam family "Bacterial large subunit ribosomal RNA", at positions 152 to 563 of the family's 2925-position model. The record is from RNAcentral. Lineage: Bacteria; Pseudomonadati; Pseudomonadota; Gammaproteobacteria; Enterobacterales; Enterobacteriaceae.
CAUUAACUGAAUCCAUAGGUUAAUGAGGCGAACCGGGGGAACUGAAACAUCUAAGUACCCCGAGGAAAAGAAAUCAACCGAGAUUCCCCCAGUAGCGGCGAGCGAACGGGGAGGAGCCCAGAGCCUGAAUCAGUGUGUGUGUUAGUGGAAGCGUCUGGAAAGGCGCGCGAUACAGGGUGACAGCCCCGUACACAAAAAUGCACAUAUUGUGAGCUCGAUGAGUAGGGCGGGACACGUGGUAUCCUGUCUGAAUAUGGGGGGACCAUCCUCCAAGGCUAAAUACUCCUGACUGACCGAUAGUGAACCAGUACCGUGAGGGAAAGGCGAAAAGAACCCCGGCGAGGGGAGUGAAAAAGAACCUGAAACCGUGUAC